AGCCCCCUCCUGUGAGCUCUGGGAGCUACAGAAUAAGGACACUCCUUGGCCCCAAGCCAGCCCCAGCUUGCUCGGGAGCCUGGGUUUCCCCCUCCGUCCCCAUCACCGCGAGGGUCUGUGCAUGGGAAUCUGCUCCAGAGGCUCCCUCAGGCGCCGCGCCGCGGGGAUACGCCUUUCACCGCCCCAGCAAUUGGAGCGCUGAGUCGAAGUCCUGAUUCCACGAUAGGCGGAUGAAGCCCUAACGCUGAAAUUCUUUCCUCUAGGUCUUUGGCAGCGGCUGGGGCCAAAGCCCGGGCAAGACCAACGCCUUCGGCACCCGGACUCAGGCUCCGUCCUCUCUGCCAGCGUGCGGCUACAAUGACUCGACAUGGCAGGUGGGCAAGCACAGCACGCCCCAACAGACAUGCUUUAUUUAAUAUGUACUAAAAAUACAGCAGGCCUGUGAAACCCACAGGUGCAAUUGCUUAAAAUGAGGCUAAGGUAGACGUGUGAAUGGUUAAUAAUGAGUUGAUUAAAAUAUUCAGAAAUCAUCUACUGGAGACGGGCAAACUGCAAAAUGGUAGCAUGGGAGCAACUGAUGUUCGAGAAAGCCCAGGCUCCGGCAAGCCGUGGGUUUGAAUUUACACAUGCGCACAUAAUGGGUAUGAAUAAACCUUUCUUCAAAAAAACCAGAUCAAGUCAAGGCAGUUAUUUGCUGUGGGCAGGUGCCAAGGCUGGCUGCUUCAGUCCCCACGCGAGUCGCCCCCGAGCCUGCUUCUGCAGCCCAGCCUGGAAAGUGCAAGGCACUUGGAAAGGAGCCACGCCCAACGCCCUGUACCAGCGGCCUCCCGGACACCAACAGCGUCCUCUGCGCCUGCUGCAGCUUGUCCCUUAGUCCUCCCUGGACAGAGGGCGUGAAGUUGGCUGCGCCAACAGGACGCGGCCCGCUCACUUCGGGGCUCAUUGUCCUGGACACACAGUCAGGGCUGGACGCCUCCAGCAGCCCCACGCUUCACCCCAAGGUCCGCAAACCUGACAACUUCGGAGGUAGGGAUAUCUUGACACAGUCUGAAAACAAACCAUUUAAAACUUUUUUUCUCAAAAAAUUAAAAUAAUUUUUUUCUGCUUACAAAAUCUAUAAAUUCAGUUCAAUAUCAAUGAAAAUCGCAACAGGAUGUUGACACUUGAGAAGCUGAUUUGAAAGUUCAUCUGAAAGAGAAAAUAUAUAGGAAUCCUGAAGAUGAUUUCGAAAACCUCCAAAAAGACUUCAGUAAUUCACACAGAAAAUCCAGAAACAGAUUCAUGUUUAUGGGGAAAUUUAGUAUUUGAUACAGGAGACCUUUCAAAGCCAAGCUGGAAAGAUGGAAGGUCAACAGAGGCUUUGGGGAAAACUCACUAUCCAUUUUGAAACCAAUGUUAGAAUCUUCUUACCAUUUGCAAGAAUAAACUCCAGGUGUAUUAAAGAGCUAAACAUUUAAAAAAUCUAUAAAAGUUUUAAAGCCAAAUAUGGAAGAAUAUUUUUAAAAUCCUAUGGUGAAGAAGGCUUUUACUAAGCAGCAAACAAAACCUGGAAACCGUAAAGGAAAUGACUGACAGAUUUGAAUAUUGCAAGAACUAAAUGAAUGCCUCCUUAAACAAAUUAAAGGACAAAUUCCAGGCAGGGAGAAAAUAGUUUACAAUAGAAGUAAUGUGCCAAUGGUUAAUAUCUGUGUUGCAUAAACAUGUCUUUCCAAUCAAUAAGAAAAGAGUAGGAAAUGGGUAAGGAUUUAACAGGCAAUUCACAGAAGACAAAGUAACCGGCCCCUAAAUGGGAGCAUAUCCUCAACUUCACUAGUAAUAAAGGAAACGAAUUUAAAAGACGAUACAUUUCUCACUUCUUCUCUCCUUAUAGCUGUAUUCCACCUUUGACCAUACAGCCUGUUUUUAUUUAUCGUAAGCAUAGGUUAAUAAAUACAGGGCUUACCAUGUUAAUAUCUUCUUUCUAUGGAUGCGUAACAACUUAUUUUAUCAUUCCGUUUGUGACUGAAAUUGAAUUUCUUUCUGUAAACCUGAAAAUAUCUGAGACAAGCCUCGAUCAACUUAGAAGUUUACUUUGCCAAGAUUAAGGACACGUCUUGGGAGACAGGUCUGUGCCUUUCUCCAAAGAUGAUUUCGAGGGCUUCAGUAUUUAAAGGAAAAAGCCAGCUGGAGGGGACAGAGGGAGGGUAUGGUCACAUUACUGAAUCCAAAUGUUGCAAAAGAAAAGGAGCAUGUAGGGGAAUGGUCAGUUAUGUGUUCGUCCCAUGCUCAGUAACUCGACUCUUCACACAAGAUAAGGUGAAUGCAGAGUGGAGAUCUUUAACCUUUUAUCUGUCUCUAUCUGCUUAGGAACAAAGGGAAAGGCAGCUUCUUGCAUGACUCCACUUUCAGCAUUUUUUUUUUCUUUUGGCGGAGGGAGUAGGGGUCCCAAGUUUUUAUUUUCCUUUCACAUUUCUAUUUUGCUUUUCUAUGAUCUGCUGCUGUAAGCUUCCCUAUAGCACAUUCCCAGGCUAGAAUCUCAUAGUGGGGACUGCCAGCUCACAGGGAAAGCACAGGGAUGCUUGGAUGCAGACAGGCAAGCCCAGCUCCAGGGCUGCACCUGUGGACCCCACCCCAGCCCAGCCCAGCCCCUGGAAGAGGGGGUCUGUCUGUCCCUGAUUGGCCCACCAGCACCCUGUGGUUCUUUCAAAGUUAUUUCUGACCUAUACUACUGUUUGCCCUAUUAGGGUGCCCCUUCCUUCCUUCCUUUCUUCCUUCCUACCUUCCUUCCUUCCUUCCUUCCUUCCUUCCUUCCUUCCUUCCUCUGUCUCACAAGAAUUCCUUUUACAGUUUGUCAUUUGCCAUUGUAUGUGGCUAAAUCUGUCAAACUUCAGCACUGUUUUCUAGCAUUGUUGCCAGGCUUAGCCUCCAUUCCAAGAUUACAGAAGCAUCCACCUGAAUUUUCUCCUAGAACUCUCACAGCUGCAGUACGUUCUGCUUUGGAGAAGGAAUGGCCCAAUUCCCUUCUGAAUCUGGAAGAAAACAGAACUGGGUCACUUUACAUAUUAUUUGGCCAUUUUAAAUUAUAUACCACUUUUACAUUUAAUGUAGCCAUUUGACGGAGUUACUUCAAAAUUUUCAUAUAAGCCUUGUCAAAAGGUCUCAUUCUGUACUUUUACCAUUUUUUUGAAUCUUUUUUAUCUUUAUCCACUUUCAUCUUGUUACAGGCCACUGCCUUCAGAGAAGGUGACAGAGGGCCAUGUCUGAAACAUUCUCCCACAACCAGGAACCCUCAGCAGCCGCUGAAGAGGAAAGGCAGUUAAAUGGAAAGACUUCUGAGCAAGUGGAGGAAAAGUCACGUGUGACCUAGGGAGGGGCUCCCACAGGAAGGGGCAAUGCCCUUGCCCUGUUCACCUAGCCUCCAGGUGGCUUCCCACUUGAAAUUUCAGAGGAUGGCAGAAACCUACUUACAAGGAAAUGAAAGAGGGCACAGCAACCUUAAGACCAGAGCAGCCCACGAUAUUUUUUAAUGAGGGCAAAAAUAGAAGACUUGCAAAAGACCCCUGAAAAUAAUGCCUGGAAGCUGCGAAACAUCAGACUGACACCGCACAAAAGAGGUCCAGCUGAGCAGGAGAAAAGCUUGAGAAGCAUCCAGAACAAUGUAGGUGGAGAGGCUAAGAAGAAAGAGGAGCCCACAUGGAAUGAAUAACCAAGGUCGGGACAGAGGAAGGUUCGCCAGAACUGGGAGGGCUGAAAUUGGACAUUGAGAUAAAUUAAAGAGUGUUCUUUAAAACUGUCAAGACUUUGGCUGGUCAAUAAGUAAACUGCAAACGAGUGUUCCUAAACCACAGCAGCAAUGCUCCCUGGAGGAGGGAAGGAGGCCGGGGCUGCCACUCUCCCAGGUGGCUGCGUCCCGGCCUUUGCCAUUGAUGUGUGCUUUCUCCAGGCUCACAGAUGUCCCUGGGCCGGUUGCAUCUGUGACCAGGACUCUGCCACCUGCCUGUGGCUUGCUGAUCAGCUGG
RNAcentral lists this long non-coding RNA (3998 nucleotides) under Homo sapiens (human). RNAcentral's name for it is "HSALNT0314377". Lineage: Eukaryota; Metazoa; Chordata; Mammalia; Primates; Hominidae. The record is from RNAcentral.